Molecule: ribosomal RNA, 468 nt
Filed under: uncultured bacterium
Lineage: Bacteria
Description: partial 16S ribosomal RNA
Rfam family: Bacterial small subunit ribosomal RNA
Source: RNAcentral
GACGAACGCUGGCGGCGUGCUUAACACAUGCAAGUCGAACGGAAAGGCCCUGCUUUUGUGGGGUGAUCGAGGGGCGAACGGGUGAGUAACACGUGAGUAACCUGCCCUUGACAUUGGGAUAACUUCAGGAAACUGGGGCUAAUACCGGAUAGGAGAUCAUGCAGCAGGGUGGGGGUUGGAAAGUUUCGGCGGGUGGGGAUGGACUAGCGGCUGAUGAGCUUGUUGGUGGGGGAGGGGCUUACCAAGGCUUUGACGGAUCGGCGGCCUGGGAGGGUGACCGGGCACAAUGGGACUGAGAUACGGAGCAGACGGGUACGGUAGGCAACGGGGGGAAGUAUUGCACAAUGGGCCGGAGCGUGAUGCAACGACGCCCGGUGCGUGAUGACGGCUUUUGGGGUGUAAACCGCUUUAGCCUGUGACGAAGCGGGAGUGACGGUAACGAGUAAAGAAGCACCGGCUAACUACGUG